This 253-nucleotide ribosomal RNA is filed under the name uncultured bacterium. RNAcentral's name for it is "partial 16S ribosomal RNA". It matches the Rfam family "Bacterial small subunit ribosomal RNA", at positions 524 to 776 of the family's 1533-position model. The record is from RNAcentral.
UACGUAGGUGGCGAGCGUUGUCCGGAUUUACUGGGCGUAAAGAGCGCGCAGGCGGCUGGUCAAGUCCGAUGUGAAAGCUCCCGGCUUAACUGGGAAAUUGCAUCGGAAACUGAUCGGCUGGAAGGUGGGAGAGGGUAGCGGAAUUCCCGGUGUAGUGGUGAAAUGCGUAGAUAUCGGGAGGAACACCAGUGGCGAAGGCGACUACCUGGCCUGUUCUUGACGCUGAGGCGCGAAAGCUAGGGGAGCAAACGGG